This 73-nucleotide transfer RNA is filed under the name Leontynka pallida. RNAcentral's name for it is "tRNA-Pro". It matches the Rfam family "tRNA". From Rfam's summary of the family: Transfer RNA (tRNA) molecules are approximately 80 nucleotides in length. Their secondary structure includes four short double-helical elements and three loops (D, anti-codon, and T loops). Further hydrogen bonds mediate the characteristic L-shaped molecular structure. tRNAs have two regions of fundamental functional importance: the anti-codon, which is responsible for specific mRNA codon recognition, and the 3' end, to which the tRNAs corresponding amino acid is attached (by aminoacyl-tRNA synthetases). tRNAs cope with the degeneracy of the genetic code in two manners: having more than one tRNA (with a specific anti-codon) for a particular amino acid; and 'wobble' base-pairing, i.e. permitting non-standard base-pairing at the 3rd anti-codon position. Lineage: Eukaryota; Viridiplantae; Chlorophyta; Chlorophyceae; Chlamydomonadales. The record is from RNAcentral.
UGGGAUGUAGCGCAGUUGGUAGCGUAUGUGCUUUGGGAGCAUAGGGUCGCAGGUUCAAAUCCUGUCAUCCCAA